RNAcentral lists this microRNA precursor (129 nucleotides) under Nicotiana sylvestris (wood tobacco). The record is from RNAcentral. Lineage: Eukaryota; Viridiplantae; Streptophyta; Magnoliopsida; Solanales; Solanaceae.
UAGAUAAAAGCCUCUCAGAUUAGCCAAGAAUGACACCUAAAAUCCAUUUUUAAGGAUAUAGGGAUCAAAUAAUCCUACGUAACAGAUUUUAGGCAAGUCAUCCUCGGCUACCAAAGCAGGUUCUUAUCU